UACGGAGGGGGCAAGCGUUGCUCGGAAUUACUGGGCGUAAAGGGCGCGUAGGCGGAUUUUCAAGUCAGGCGUGAAAGCCCCGGGCUCAACCCGGGAACUGCGCUUGAUACUGAUGAUCUAGAGUUCGGAAGAGGGUGGUGGAAUUCCCAGUGUAGAGGUGAAAUUCGUAGAUAUUGGGAAGAACACCAGUGGCGAAGGCGGCCACCUGGUCCGAUACUGACGCUGAGGCGCGAAAGCGUGGGGAGCAAACAGGAUUAGAUACCCCCGUAGUCC
Molecule: ribosomal RNA, 273 nt
Filed under: uncultured bacterium
Lineage: Bacteria
Description: partial 16S ribosomal RNA
Rfam family: Bacterial small subunit ribosomal RNA
Source: RNAcentral